GAUGAAGAACGCAGCGAAAUGCGAUACGUAAUGUGAAUUGCAGAAUUCAGUGAAUCAUCGAAUCUUUGAACGCAUAUUGCGCUCUCUGGUAUUCCGGAGAGCAUGCUUGUUUGAGUAUCAGUAAACACCUCAACUCCCUUUUCUUUUUUGAAAUUGGAGCUGGACUUGAGUGAUCCCAACGCUUUCUUCCAAGAAAGUGGCGGGUUGCUUGAAAUGCAGGUGCAGCUGAACUUUUCUCUGAGCUAUAAGCAUAUCUAUUUAGUCUGCCUAAAAAACAGAUUAUUACCCUUGCUGCAGCUAACAUAAAGGAGACUAGUUCUUGUGCUGACUGAUGCAGGAUUCACAGAGACAGCUUCGGCUGACUUUGUAAACUCGAUCUCAAAUCAAGUAAGACUACCCGCUGAACUUAAGCAUAUCAAUAAGCGGAGGA
This 430-nucleotide unclassified non-coding RNA is filed under the name soil metagenome. RNAcentral's name for it is "partial contains 5.8S ribosomal RNA, internal transcribed spacer 2, and large subunit ribosomal RNA". The stretch from base 1 to 120 matches the Rfam family "5.8S ribosomal RNA", at positions 35 to 154 of the family's 154-position model. The record is from RNAcentral.